UUUACUUGUGGUUUCUAUCACAAUAUUGUAUACUUUUUAAAUUGUGUAAUUUUCCUAACAUUCACAUUUUUACAUAAUUAGAGUUUUUCAAAAUUGUGUAAUAACUAAAGGGAGUGUAAAACAUAAUUUCUAGUGACUCUACAAUGCAUUAAAGAGAGGGAGGUCCGAUUCACAACCGUUCAAUCUUGUCAAAAAUGAUUGAGAAUCCGUGUUUUUCAGUCUCAAAAUUGAUUAUUCUAAAUUGCGGUUCUCUUUAAAAGUUACUAACGGAUUUAUACAACAAGAAAAGGAAGGAAAUAUUGAGAAAUUUUAUCUGAAACUAAGUCUACAGUCUCUUUAAUAAGUUCUAGUGUCUUUUAACUUGUUGUGGUUAAAAACACCCACUGUAUUCUCUAUAUAUGGAGGAGGGUGAUAGCUCUGCUGCAGUUACAAGACUAAUAUCAACAAUGAACCCCACUUCAAUCCUUCUUUUGUUAUUCCUUUGUGGUUCUACACUGGCUAAACAGUGCUAUGUCUGUAAUUCUGCCGCGGACAAGUGUUCUGAAA
Eurytemora carolleeae is the source of this 546-nucleotide long non-coding RNA. RefSeq lists it as uncharacterized. NCBI's taxonomy places the organism in Eukaryota, Metazoa, Arthropoda, Copepoda, Calanoida, Temoridae. The transcript has 2 exons. The record is from RefSeq and is a predicted model, not a curated record.